UCAGGUCAUGUAGUGUGAACGGCACAGCGAUCUGCUGAUGUUUAAAAUCCUGUAGUGUGAACUAGGCUUAAGGGGUAGAACUGAGAUUGGACCUAAGUUGAGUCAACACAAAAAAAAACUCUGUAGCAAGUUGAGUCAAAUUUUUGGGGUAGGGGGUAGUUUUUCCUUGUUUCUGAAACUGUCCUUCGUCUGACUUAAUCCCUGUUCUGCCUCCCAAGUCUGUUGCUGUUCGCAGUGAGCCAUCAAGCAAACCAGUCACACCAAAAAAGCUGUCCAUACUGAGGUAAACGCCCUGUCAAGUUGACUUACAAUAUACUGUGAAGAAAGAGAGUAAAAUAAAGCCCCCAGACAUCUCAGACAGUGUGUGGCUGUUUCUUUUGGCCUCUGUGGAGAAAUGAAUCCGGUGAAACACUCUUACUUAUUUUAUUUGUCUGCUGAUGUUUUUUAACACACACACACACACGCUAUUAAUUUUUUGGG
Molecule: non-coding RNA, 480 nt
Organism: Danio rerio (zebrafish)
Lineage: Eukaryota; Metazoa; Chordata; Actinopteri; Cypriniformes; Danionidae
Source: RefSeq, a predicted model, not a curated record